UUAAGGGCGCACGGUGGAUGCCUUGGCACUAGAAGCCGACGAAGGACGUUACUAACGACGAUAUGCUUUGGGUAGCUGUAAGUAAGCGUUGAUCCAGAGAUUUCCGAAUGGGGGAACCCAGCACGAGUUAUGUCGUGUUAUCGACAAGUGAAUUCAUAGCUUGUCAGAAGGCAGACCCGGAGAACUGAAACAUCUUAGUACCCGGAGGAAGAGAAAGAAAAAUCGAUUCCCUGAGUAGCGGCGAGCGAAACGGGAAGAGCCCAAACCAAUAAGCUUGCUUAUUGGGGUUGUAGGACACUCUAUACGGAGUUACAAAGGAAUAUAUUAGACGAAUCAUCUGGAAAGUUGAAUCAAAGAAGGUAAUAAUCCUGUAGUUGAAAAUAUAUUCUCUCUUGAGUGGAUCCUGAGUACGACGGAGCACGUGAAAUUCCGUCGGAAUCUGGGAGGACCAUCUCCUAAGGCUAAAUACUCUCUAGUGACCGAUAGUGAACCAGUACCGUGAGGGAAAGGUGAAAAGUACCCCGGAAGGGGAGUGAAAGAGAACUUGAAACCGUGUGCUUACAAGUAGUCAGAGCCCGUUAAUGGGUGAUGGCGUGCCUUUUGUAGAAUGAACCGGCGAGUUACGAUCUGAUGCAAGGUUAAGCAGGAGAUGUGGAGCCGUAGCGAAAGCGAGUCUGAAUAGGGCGUUGAGUAUUUGGUCGUAGACCCGAAACCAGGUGAUCUACCCAUGGUCAGGUUGAAGUUCAGGUAACACUGAAUGGAGGACCGAACCGACUUACGUUGAAAAGUGAGCGGAUGAACUGUGGGUAGCGGAGAAAUUCCAAUCGAACUUGGAGAUAGCUGGUUCUCUCCGAAAUAGCUUUAGGGCUAGCCUCAAGUGAUGAUUAUUGGAGGUAGAGCACUGUUUGGACGAGGGGCCCCUCUCGGGUUACCGAAUUCAGACAAACUCCGAAUGCCAAUUAAUUUAACUUGGGAGUCAGAACAUGGGUGAUAAGGUCCGUGUUCGAAAGGGAAACAGCCCAGACCACCAGCUAAGGUCCCAAAAUAUAUGUUAAGUGGAAAAGGAUGUGGCGUUGCCCAGACAACUAGGAUGUUGGCUUAGAAGCAGCCAUCAUUUAAAGAGUGCGUAAUAGCUCACUAGUCGAGUGACACUGCGCCGAAAAUGUACCGGGGCUAAACAUAUUACCGAAGCUGUGGAUUGUCCGUAGGACAAUGGUAGGAGAGCGUUCUAAGGGCGUUGAAGCAUGAUCGCAAGGACAUGUGGAGCGCUUAGAAGUGAGAAUGCCGGUGUGAGUAGCGAAAGACGGGUGAGAAUCCCGUCCACCGAUUGACUAAGGUUUCCAGAGGAAGGCUCGUCCGCUCUGGGUUAGUCGGGUCCUAAGCUGAGGCCGACAGGCGUAGGCGAUGGAUAACAGGUUGAUAUUCCUGUACCACCUAGCAUCGCUUUAAUCGAUGGGGGGACGCAGUAGGAUAGGCGAAGCGUACGAUUGGAUUGUACGUCNAAGCAGUGAGAUUGAGUGUUAGGCAAAUCCGGCACUCUUAAGAUUGAGCUGUGAUGGGGAGAGGAAAUUGUUUCCUCGAGUCGUUGAUUUCACACUGCCGAGAAAAGCCUCUAGAUAGAUAAUAGGUGCCCGUACCGCAAACCGACACAGGUAGUCAAGAUGAGAAUUCUAAGGUGAGCGAGCGAACUCUCGUUAAGGAACUCGGCAAAAUGACCCCGUAACUUCGGGAGAAGGGGUGCUCUUUAGGGUGCAAGCCCAGAAGAGCCGCAGUGAAUAGGCCCAAGCGACUGUUUAUCAAAAACACAGGUCUCUGCUAAACCGUAAGGUGAUGUAUAGGGGCUGACGCCUGCCCGGUGCUGGAAGGUUAAGAGGAGUGGUUAGCUUCUGCGAAGCUACGAAUCGAAGCCCCAGUAAACGGCGGCCGUAACUAUAACGGUCCUAAGGUAGCGAAAUUCCUUGUCGGGUAAGUUCCGACCCGCACGAAAGGCGUAACGAUUUGGGCACUGUCUCAACGAGAGACUCGGUGAAAUCAUAGUACCUGUGAAGAUGCAGGUUACCCGCGACAGGACGGAAAGACCCCGUGGAGCUUUACUGUAGCCUGAUAUUGAAAUUCGGCACAGCUUGUACAGGAUAGGUAGGAGCCUUUGAAACGUGAGCGCUAGCUUACGUGGAGGCGCUGGUGGGAUACUACCCUAGCUGUGUUGGCUUUCUAACCCGCACCACUUAUCGUGGUGGGAGACAGUGUCAGGCGGGCAGUUUGACUGGGGCGGUCGCCUCCUAAAAGGUAACGGAGGCGCUCAAAGGUUCCCUCAGAAUGGUUGGAAAUCAUUCAUAGAGUGUAAAGGCAUAAGGGAGCUUGACUGCGAGACCUACAAGUCGAGCAGGGUCGAAAGACGGACUUAGUGAUCCGGUGGUUCCGCAUGGAAGGGCCAUCGCUCAACGGAUAAAAGCUACCCCGGGGAUAACAGGCUUAUCUCCCCCAAGAGUUCACAUCGACGGGGAGGUUUGGCACCUCGAUGUCGGCUCAUCGCAUCCUGGGGCUGUAGUCGGUCCCAAGGGUUGGGCUGUUCGCCCAUUAAAGCGGUACGCGAGCUGGGUUCAGAACGUCGUGAGACAGUUCGGUCCCUAUCCGUCGUGGGCGUAGGAAAUUUGAGAGGAGCUGUCCUUAGUACGAGAGGACCGGGAUGGACAUACCUCUGGUGUACCAGUUGUCGUGCCAACGGCAUAGCUGGGUAGCUAUGUAUGGACGGGAUAAGUGCUGAAAGCAUCUAAGCAUGAAGCCCCCCUCAAGAUGAGAUUUCCCAACUUCGGUUAUAAGAUCCCUCAAAGAUGAUGAGGUUAAUAGGUUCGAGGUGGAAGCGUGGUGACACGUGGAGCUGACGAAUACUAAUCGAUCGAAGACUUAAUC
This 2910-nucleotide ribosomal RNA is filed under the name Staphylococcus haemolyticus. Its description in RNAcentral is "bacterial LSU rRNA". It matches the Rfam family "Bacterial large subunit ribosomal RNA". The record is from RNAcentral. Lineage: Bacteria; Bacillati; Bacillota; Bacilli; Caryophanales; Staphylococcaceae.